Gallus gallus (chicken) is the source of this 2698-nucleotide long non-coding RNA. Lineage: Eukaryota; Metazoa; Chordata; Aves; Galliformes; Phasianidae. The record is from Ensembl.
GUCAUGGGCUGUUAAAAGCAUUGUUGUGCUCUGCAGCUGGUACCUGGGAAACCCAGCUGUGAGAUAUGAGCUGUGGAUGAAAUGUAGAAGUGAAACAGCAGCUGUGACCAGGCUGGACAUUUCCUGGCUCAAAUCACUAGUUUCUCCUGUUUUUGGGGGGCCAAGGCCCCACAAGACGCACACACACAUGUUGUGAGUUCCAGCUUGGUGUGGUGCAGUAGGCAGAGUUCACAAACACUGUGAAGAAGUCCAAAUCUCCUUUCUGCCCUCACAGCUGCUGAGCUUCACACACAGGAUUAAGACCUCCCUGUUUAUGUUUCCACCUAAAUUUCCCCUCCCACCCUCCCCCACCCCCCCUUUUUUUUUUUUUUUAUUUUUAGUAUUAGAUAUCCUCAGUCAGGGAUUGUGGCACAUCUCUCCUAUGUUGUCACAAGGAUGAUUUUGUGAACAUCACAUAUACAGCUUGUAGCCUGGCAUAGCACCAACGCAAGCGCUUUGCAGAUGAUGACCUAGCAGAGAUGAAGCAUGGAAGGGACAGAGAGGACAAGCCCCACUGGCUCCAGCAGGGAGAGGGGGGACACCUGAGUGCAAGCUGGCAUUCACAAUGAGUCUGAGUCCCCACAGAUGCAUAGUAACUACAUUGGCAGCCCUUCCAACACCUGCAACAUCCAUUCCACAGUUUCUCAGUUUUCUGUUCCCAGUGUAAACACUGUUUGCCUUUAGCAAGUUAAACCGUUUGCUCCCCUGUAGUAUUCCCCCUGCCUUGGAUUCUUCAGUAGUCUGCUGUGCUUUAGCAGUCUAUGCAUCUGAGAUCCGAAACCUGGAGGGAUUAUAGCAUGAACUCACUCCUAAACAAUCUGCAAAUGAUACUCAGAUGCUAAUGCUCGUGCCAUUCAACCGGAGGGAACGUUGGGCAAAUCAGUGCCUCAGAUUUCAUGGGUCUUUGGUUAUAAUUUUUCUUAUGCUGUUAUCUAGCUAGAUGUGUUAACCAUCAGUUUGUUGACCCAGAUUGCAAACCAGUGUUUACAUGAGGAAAGAAGACACUCCCACAGCAGGUUGCACAGUUCUGCAACUUUCUCACCCAACUAAUCACAUUACCACCAGUUGGAUUCCUCUCCUCAGUAAACGGACACAAGAACUUGUUUGCAAGAGCAAGGAAUUUAUAAUUAUUGACCAAGCAUUCAUUAUGGCAGCUAUCAAGAAAAAGUGACACCCACACAUCUCCUUCACUUACUGGCGAUGAUAAUAAAGGAGAUAAACAACUGGAGCUCAUGCAGUUAGACUUAAUCUUUGUAUGUCAUCAUCACCAAGCAAAGCCACAGCAAUAGGAAAACAGAGCUGUUUUGUGCUGCUUGUUUCUAACUGACAUUUCCUCACAGAUCAAGUUGCUCAUGUAACCUGUGGACUCUUUGAACUUCAUUGUGUGCCCGCUGUGUUUCACAGUGUGUCAGUGCUGUCAUGCAGUGCUGAGCUGCAGCACAGAUACCCUCUGCUCAUAUCCUGGUUCUCAUUUUUCUUCUCUGCCUCAGUGGUUUGAAAUCAGAUUGCAGAGCCUCAACAGAAAUGCAGUAAUUAAAAAACAAAAGCAAAACAAAACAAACAAAAAACCCCACCACCUAGUAGGAACACUGAUGUUAAAACCUUCUACUGCAGGUGAAAUGUAUGGUUUGUAAGCAACAGAUUGUUUAGUUAAGAAAGGAGAAAAGGCAGAAAUAGCGACGUUUUAAAAACGUUUUUUUGAUCAAGUGUAUAUGCAUUGUUAGUUUAACUUGAAUAAUCUCAGGAAAUAAGCACAGAACCUCCAUCCUUCCAAGGACUGCUUUUAUUGGAAAUUCACUGGAGCUACAGUCCAAACUAAUGCAUUUCUCUAGCUGCUGGAGACAAGCCCUGGAGUCACUUAGCUCCACUGUUUCUGCAGUCUGCCAUAGAGCUGUCCUGCCUUUCCAGCCUGCUGCUGUUUAUUUGGCCACUGCCAUUUGAAUAUCAUUUGCUGCUUUUGUUUCAAGAACUUCCUGGGUCUCAACGUUGUGCCUCAGACGGUUCAUGGGACCCAGCAUGGCUUUCCCCAUCAGUGCUGCUAGUUCCUCAUUGGUGAAGAGCAGCGUGUGCUGUAGAAAGUGCUUAUUAAGGCAAGAAAGAUCUAGGUAUUUUUAAUGCUGCUAUUUCCAGUAUAUGGCCAGGGAGAAGCAGAAGUCUGUUUUGUGCAGCAUAUACUGCAGCUGGUUUCUUCAUUGCAAUUUCCCUGAGGGACCGUUCCAGAGUUCCACUAAAGUGGUUUUAGAGUGGUUUCUCCAUUAACCCCUUUUUGCUUCUGCCAUCUUUGUUGCUAGGUUGCUCCAUCGCGGGACUGGACUUGAAAUUAGCAUCAAUGCUGCAUGCAUGCAGCAGGAAGGGUGGCUAUUCCCUUGCUGCCCAGUUCUGUAUCUUCAUAGUUUCAUGUGCUACUGUUAAGAGAAAACAUUAGCAUUACUUCGGCAUGCUGCUAAUGAGAAAAAGAGCUAGCUGGGGAUAUUGCUCCCAAAGUUGACAUUCUGCCCCUUUGCAUCAGGAGCUAUGCAAAGAGAGGAAUGAUUUCCAUUCUCCAGGCAGUUUUGAGUUGGCUGGGUCAAGAAGCCCAGAAAGGAAUGCAAGCAGCCUACUUCAUCAUUUUCACUAGCAAAGGAGAAAACAACAGCUCUCAUCUUGACCACUGGUGUUU